AUGGAGGAUGUGAUCUACGAGGGUGGGCAAGGCCGUGCCUACGACCCCGACGAGACCCAAAGUCAGGUUGGCCACGCCCAGUACGUUCCCGAUGAAGAGGCUGAUGACCGUGCUGACUACGACCAUGGUGACUCGUGGCAUGAAGAUGAUGACAUCUAUUGCGAAGGUGAUGGUGAUGAAGAAGAAAACAAUGACAUUGAUAUUGGUGGCGAGCCAUUAUUCAUCGACGAACUCACCCAAAGAGCGAAAGCACAAAAGAGGAGGAAGAGCAUCCGCACGGGUUCAUAUACACAAGAUGAGGACAAAUUGAUUUGCCAAUGUUGGAUGGAGAUUAGCCAAGAUCCGAAGACCGACACGCAACAAGAGGGCCUUGUUUUUUGGACGAGAGUCCACAAAACAUUCCAUGAAAGGAAGAUGUUUGAGCCCUACCAAAUGACAAGCAACCGUGGCAUCACCUCGAUUCAAAAGAGGUGGUUGUUCAUCCAACAAGAGUGUAACAAGUAUUGCGCCGCAUUUGAGAGCGUUGAAGCACGGCCCGUGAGUGGUCUCGGCAUUGGGGACAUGGUAUGA
Molecule: ribosomal RNA, 570 nt
Filed under: Triticum aestivum (bread wheat)
Lineage: Eukaryota; Viridiplantae; Streptophyta; Magnoliopsida; Poales; Poaceae
Description: partial small subunit ribosomal RNA
Source: RNAcentral